Long non-coding RNA from Carassius auratus (goldfish), 1090 nucleotides. RefSeq lists it as uncharacterized. The record is from RefSeq and is a predicted model, not a curated record. The transcript has 2 exons. Lineage: Eukaryota; Metazoa; Chordata; Actinopteri; Cypriniformes; Cyprinidae.
UAAGAAUACGGAACUUGGGACAAUGCCUUUGUGAAGUGAUCAUUUAACGUAGGAGGGGAGCUUCCCCGUUGAAAAUCCCUUUGGCAUCCAUAUAACCGAAAAUCAUGUCUCAUGAACCAGGAAAAUGUGAGAUAAGUAACAGUACCUGUGACAUUACUCUUCAGUUAUUCCCUCCACACCACUGCAUAAAAGAGUUGAGCCACAGAAAGCUGUAACUCUUUUAAAAUGGCAUUAAUCAUUCUGCUUAUGAUCUCCUGUCAUCAACCUACACCAGAGAGAAACGCCCUUAAAGCAUAAAUAGCGGCCCCCAAAAAACAGGAAGUUGGGCUUGGCUUGACCUUGGUUGACUCUGUCACGCGGUCUCUGGAGAGCCUGCUGUUACUCAUCGAAACUCGACGAUAAGGAUUCUGCCUUGCCUUGUUUAUACAAAGACCUUGCAGAUUAGACUUAGAUCCCUGCCCCCGUCUGGGGCCAUGUAACUAAUAGGCUCCGAGCAUAUGCUGCGUGUUUUCUCACCUGCAGUGGAUUUUCUGCUCUCGUUCUAAACACUUCAUCCAAAUAAAACUUUCAGUUUGAAGUCCAAAUACUUCAAAAACUGGUGUUCUAUUCGGUCUUUUGCAGCAAGAAGUUGUAGAUUUUAUUUUGUGUGCAGUGAAAUCUAAGUAUUUUUAGGGUUAACCUCUGUUUUCAAACUUCCUGUUUGCUAAUGUGGGGUCGGAGCCCAGAGUGCAUCUGAUUGUCAGCUACAGUAAAUGUUGGAGGGAGCGGGACUGUAUGGGAAAGAGGAAAAAAAAGAGAGGGAGAGAGAGAAAAUAUGACGCUACAUGAUAAGUUCAUCUGAGGAGAACAGAGGGUGGAGGAAAUGCUCUCCUUUCCUCCCUCCCUCGCUCCACUUUUUUCCUGUUCCUAUCUCUCUGUCUCUGAACAAAAUAAACGUAUAUGCAAAGAUUUUGUGCCUCUUUGGAGGGUAUCUCUGUUCAUCUUUAACAAGCAGCAGAUUAGCUGCCCUCUUUCCUUCUGCUGACGAGUAAUAAAGCACAAAAAAGACAUUACCCAAGAAAAAUCCUUGCUCUAUAGCCAAAUCAUCAAA